RNAcentral lists this ribosomal RNA (777 nucleotides) under Campylobacter coli. RNAcentral's name for it is "partial 23S ribosomal RNA". It matches the Rfam family "Bacterial large subunit ribosomal RNA", at positions 413 to 1188 of the family's 2925-position model. The record is from RNAcentral. RNAcentral also lists the same sequence under 2 other names. Lineage: Bacteria; Pseudomonadati; Campylobacterota; Epsilonproteobacteria; Campylobacterales; Campylobacteraceae.
UAGGGCGGGACACGAGGAAUCCUGUCUGAAUCCGGGUCGACCACGAUCCAACCCUAAAUACUAAUACCAGAUCGAUAGUGCACAAGUACCGUGAGGGAAAGGUGAAAAGAACUGAGGUGAUCAGAGUGAAAUAGAACCUGAAACCAUUUGCUUACAAUCAUUCAGAGCACUAUGUAGCAAUACAGUGUGAUGGACUGCCUUUUGCAUAAUGAGCCUGCGAGUUGUGGUGUCUGGCAAGGUUAAGCAAACGCGAAGCCGUAGCGAAAGCGAGUCUGAAUAGGGCGCUUAGUCAGAUGCUGCAGACCCGAAACGAAGUGAUCUAUCCAUGAGCAAGUUGAAGCUAGUGUAAGAACUAGUGGAGGACUGAACCCAUAGGCGUUGAAAAGCCCCGGGAUGACUUGUGGAUAGGGGUGAAAGGCCAAUCAAACUUCGUGAUAGCUGGUUCUCUCCGAAAUAUAUUUAGGUAUAGCGUUGUGUCGUAAUAUAAGGGGGUAGAGCACUGAAUGGGCUAGGGCAUACACCAAUGUACCAAACCCUAUCAAACUCCGAAUACCUUAUAUGUAAUCACAGCAGUCAGGCGGCGAGUGAUAAAAUCCGUCGUCAAGAGGGAAACAACCCAGACUACCAGCUAAGGUCCCUAAAUCUUACUUAAGUGGAAAACGAUGUGAAGUUACUUAAACAACCAGGAGGUUGGCUUAGAAGCAGCCAUCCUUUAAAGAAAGCGUAAUAGCUCACUGGUCUAGUGAUUUUGCGCGGAAAAUAUAACGGGGCUAAAGU